Molecule: ribosomal RNA, 469 nt
Filed under: uncultured bacterium
Lineage: Bacteria
Description: bacterial SSU rRNA
Rfam family: Bacterial small subunit ribosomal RNA
Source: RNAcentral
ACUCCUACGGGAGGCAGCAGUGGGGAAUAUUGCACAAUGGGGGAAACCCUGAUGCAGCCAUGCCGCGUGUGUGAAGAAGGCCUUCGGGUUGUAAAGCACUUUCAGUAGGGAGGAAGGUAGUGUAGUUAACACCUGCACUAUUUGACGUUACCUACAGAAGAAGCACCGGCUAACUCCGUGCCAGCAGCCGCGGUAAUACGGAGGGUGCGAGCGUUAAUCGGAAUUACUGGGCGUAAAGCGCAUGCAGGCGGCCUGUUAAGUCAGAUGUGAAAGCCCGGGGCUUAACCUCGGAAUUGCAUUUGAAACUGGCAGGCUAGAGUCUUGUAGAGGGGUAGAAUUUCAGGUGUAGCGGUGAAAUGCGUAGAGAUCUGAAGGAAUACCAGUGGCGAAGCGGCCCCUGGACAAAGACUGACGCUCAGAUGCGAAAGCGUGGGAGCAAACAGGAUUAGAUACCCCUGGUAGCACAGAG